RNAcentral lists this ribosomal RNA (602 nucleotides) under Taeniatherum caput-medusae. RNAcentral describes it as "eukaryotic LSU rRNA". The stretch from base 227 to 382 matches the Rfam family "5.8S ribosomal RNA". The record is from RNAcentral. Lineage: Eukaryota; Viridiplantae; Streptophyta; Magnoliopsida; Poales; Poaceae.
UCGUGACCCUGACCAAAACAGACCGCGCACGCGUCAUCAAAUCCGUCGGCGACGGCACCGUCCGUCGCUCGGCCAAUGCCUCGACCACCUCCCCUCCUCGGAGUGGGUGGGGGCUCGAGGCAAAAGAACCCACGGCGCCGAAGGCGUCAAGGAACACUGUGCCUAACCCGUGGGCAUGGCUAGCUUGCUAGCCGUCCCAUGUGUUGCAAAGCUAUUUAAUCCACACGACUCUCGGCAACGGAUAUCUCGGCUCUCGCAUCGAUGAAGAACGUAGCGAAAUGCGAUACCUGGUGUGAAUUGCAGAAUCCCGCGAACCAUCGAGUCUUUGAACGCAAGUUGCGCCCGAGGCCACUCGGCCGAGGGCACGCCUGCCUGGGCGUCACGCCAAAACACGCUCCCAACCCCCCUCAUCGGGAAUCGGGAUGCGGCAUCUGGUCCCUCGUCUCGCAAGGGGCGGUGGACCGAAGAUCGGGCUGCCGGCGUACCGCGCCGGACACAGCGCAUGGUGGGCGUCCUCGCUUUAUCAACGCAGUGCAUCCGACGCGCAGCCGGCAUGAUGGCCUCAAAACGACCCAGCAAACGAAGCGCACGUCGCUUCGACC